GUCUGUCCAUACCUAAAUACCUUGCUGAGUGUAAUGAAACAUUUGUCUUUUGUUAAAAGUAUGGUGGAUUUAAACCAGUUAUGUUAUCAUUUUGCUUAUAUUUAACACUCCCAUGAAAUAUCUAAUGGCCCCGUAUUCGCUACAUUUUCUAUUUUAAAAAGCCAUAGUGUCGUAAAGUUGUAAAUAAUUGUAUAGCUGGAAACCUCCAUAUUUGUUGUUUUUCACAAUCAUCAUUCCUAAUAGUUGUAGUUUCGUACCUCGCUGAAGCCCUUUACAAAACAAUUCAGAAUCCCGCAAUAUAUUGAUAAUCACUUACAUGUUAUCGUAUAGCGGGUUAUUUUUAGCGGGUGUAAGAUUUAGCGAUUUUCAUUCAAUAACUUAAAGGUAUAUUUUGGCGGUUAUUAUUUUGGCGAAUUCAAAACUUUUAUCAAUACCUUUGCAUGUACACUUUUAAAUUGGUGGAAUUAUUUUGGCGAUUUUGUUCUAUCCGCGAAAAUAAGCGAAAAUUUACACUCCGCGGAAAUAACCCGCUAUACGGUAUUUAACACUACAAUCAACCCAAUAUUUAAAAUUAUUUUGUAAACAGUACAUAAUCUUGGACUGUAAAUGUUAACUGCUAGCGUUUUUUUUUUUUAAAGAAAACCACUUACAUUGUUGUUCUAAGCAGAUCUAAAAUUUUCUUUUAUAUUCGUGAUUUUCAAC
This 702-nucleotide long non-coding RNA is filed under the name Mytilus galloprovincialis (Mediterranean mussel). Lineage: Eukaryota; Metazoa; Mollusca; Bivalvia; Mytilida; Mytilidae. The record is from RNAcentral.